GACGAACGCUGGCGGCGUGCCUAAUACAUGCAAGUCGAACGCAGUGGGGACGGGUGAGUAACACGUGGGUAACCUCCCAUCAGAGGGGAUAACACUUGGAAACAGGUGCUAAACCGAUACUGAUGGAUGAACCCGCGGUGCAUUAGCUAGUUGGUGGGGUAACGGCUCACCAAGGCGACGAUCGCUAGCUGGGCUGAGAGGAUGAUCAGCCACACUGGGACUGAGACACGGCCCAGACUCCUACGGGAGGAAGCAGUAGGGAAUAUUCGGCAAUGGACGAAAGUCUGACCGAGCAACGCCGCGUGGGUGAAGAAGGUUUUCGGAUCGUAAAACACUGUUGUUAGGGAAGCGGUAUCUAACCAGAAAGCCACGGCUAACUACGUGCCAGCAGCCGCGGUAAUAC
Molecule: ribosomal RNA, 403 nt
Filed under: uncultured bacterium
Lineage: Bacteria
Description: partial 16S ribosomal RNA
Rfam family: Bacterial small subunit ribosomal RNA
Source: RNAcentral